AUGAAAGCGGGGGAUCGCAAGACCUCGCGCUUGGAGCGGCUGAUAUCAGAUUAGCUUGUUGGUGAGGUAAAAGCUCACCAAGGCGGCGCUGUAGCUGGUUUGAGAGAACGACCAGCCACACUGGGACUGAGACACGGCCCCAGACUUACGGGAGGCAGCAGUGGGGAAUUUUGGACAAUGGGGCGAAAGCCUGAUCCAGCAAUGGCGUGCAGGAAGAAGGCUCUUCGGGUUGUAAACUGCUUUUGUACGGAACGAAACGGACCCCUAAUACGGCGGGCUAAUGACGGUACCGUAAGAAUAAGCACCGGCUAACUACGUGCGCAGCCGCGGUAAUACGUAGGGUGCGAGCGUUAAUCGGAAUUACUGGGCGUAAAGCGUGCAGGCGGUUAUGUAAGACAGUUGUGAAAUCCCCGGGCUCAACCUGGGAAUUGCAUCUGACUGCAUAGCUAGAGUACGGUAGAGGGGGAUGGAAUUCCGCGUGUAGCAGUGAAAUGUAGAUAUGCGGAGGAACACCGAUGGCGAAGGCAAUCCCCUGGACCUGUACUGACGCUCGCACGAAAGCGUGGGGAGCAAACAGGAUUAGAUACCCUGGUAGUCCACGCCCUAAACGGUCAACUGGUUGUUGGGUGCAUUAGUACUCAGUAACGAAGCUAACGCGUGAAGUGACC
This 668-nucleotide ribosomal RNA is filed under the name uncultured bacterium. RNAcentral's name for it is "bacterial SSU rRNA". It matches the Rfam family "Bacterial small subunit ribosomal RNA", at positions 200 to 870 of the family's 1533-position model. The record is from RNAcentral.